UUAUACUGGGAUAGGUUAUAUUGGUUAUACUGGGUUAUAUUGGGAUGGGUUAUACUGGGUUGGGUUAUACUGGGGGAGCUGGGCCGGGAGAUCGAGCAGAAAUACGACUGCGGCGAGGAGAUCCUGGGAAUACUGGGAAUACUGGGUUAUACUGGGAUGGGUUAUACUGGUUAUACUGGGAUGGGUUAUAUUGGUUAUACUGUGUUAUAUUGGGUUAUACUGGGUUAUACUGGUUAUACUGGGGUAGGUUAUACUGGUUAUAUUGGGAUGGGUUA
This 275-nucleotide long non-coding RNA is filed under the name Zonotrichia albicollis (white-throated sparrow). RNAcentral's name for it is "lncRNA (ENSZALG00000001910.1)". Lineage: Eukaryota; Metazoa; Chordata; Aves; Passeriformes; Passerellidae. The record is from RNAcentral.